Molecule: long non-coding RNA, 1778 nt
Filed under: Sus scrofa (pig)
Lineage: Eukaryota; Metazoa; Chordata; Mammalia; Artiodactyla; Suidae
Description: lncRNA (ENSSSCG00030074932.1)
Source: RNAcentral
AACACGAGGAAGUGACCAUGUGCCCAGGUCUGCCCUGAGCCCGGCGGGUAUAUAGAGGCCCCCGGCCCAGGAGGCACCACACCUGAGCCCGUCUCCUCUCUCUGCACCUGCUCCUCUGACCGACUCCACCCUCCACUCACCAGAACCAUGAGCUGCUGUGGCUGUUCCGGAGGCUGUGGCUCCAGCUGUGGGGGCUGUGGCUCCAGCGGCUGUGUGCCUGUGUGCUGCUGCAAGCCCGUGUACUGCUGUGUGCCAGCCUGUGCCUGCUCCGGCUGUGGCAAAGGGGGCUGUGGCUCCUGCGGGGGCUCCAAGGGGGGCUGUGGCUCCUAUGGCUGCUCCCAGUCCAGCUGCUGCAAGCCUGUGUGCUGCUGUGUGCCAGCCUGUGCCUGCUCCGGCUGUGGCAAAGGGGGCAGUGGCUCCUGUGGGGGCUCCAAGGGGGGCUGUGGCUCCUGUGGCUGCUCCCAGUCCAGCUGCUGCAAGCCGGUGUGCUGCUGUGUGCCAGCCUCCUGUGCCUGCUCCAGCUGUGGCAAAGGGGGCUGUGGCUCCUGUGGGGGCUCCAAGGGGGGCUGCGGCUCCUGUGGCUGCUCCCAGUCCAGCUGCUGCAGGCCCGUGUGCUGCUGUGUGCCAGCCUGUGUCUGCUCCGGCUGUGGCAAAGGGGGCUGUGGCUCCUGUGGGGGCUCCAAGGGGGGCUGUGGCUCCUGUGGGGGCUCCAAGGGGGGCUGCGGCUCCUGUGGCUGCUCCCAGUCCAGCUGCUGCAGGCCCGUGUGCUGCUGUGUGCCAGCCUGUGCCUGCUCCAGCUGUGGCUCUUGUGGCUGCUGCAAGCCCAGCUGUUGCCAGUCCAGCUGUUGCCAACCCUGCUGUUCCCAGUCCAGCUGCUGUGUCCCCGUUUGCUGCCAGUGCAAGAUCUGAGCUGCUGACCACAGACCUCAUGAUGGGGAGGUGGUGCGGUGGCCACGGCUGCCUCAUCCAAGUGUCCCCCUUCGGCCGAUGUCCCCACCCUCUGUUUAACCUGGAUGCUGAGGCAUCUCUCAAUAAAGCCUUUCCCUAACCUCAGAGACCUGUCUUCUCACUCCUCCCGCUCCUGUCCUGCUCUAAGGACUGCUCUCUGUGCUUCCUGGGUGCUCUGUUUCGUGCCUCGGGGGGGACAUGCGGGGCUGAGCUGCCACGUACCCGGCGAGGCGGACGGCCAUGUGGGUGACUUUGCCCAAGACAGGCAGGGAGAGGUUAAUGGAGGAAAAUAGCAAAGGAAAACCGAGGGGCACGGCCAAGAGCAGUGGAAGGACCAACGUGCAAGUAACAGACGGGGAGGGCCACUCCGGGGAGAGAGAAAUAUUCGAGGAUAGUUGAGGGCAUUUUCCCCAGAAUGAAAGAAACGCUUUUUAAAAACCUUAUAUUAAGAGGGUUGAAGAAGCAGCUCGUUCCUGCCUAUGUGCUUCUGUAGCACGACUUCUCAAUUCUCCAGGGAGAAUGUGAACCAGAGGGCGGGGGAGACCAUGGGGGCGGCUCGGGUGCACGAGCGGGAGGAGGGCAGAUCCGCGGGAAAGGGCGCGUCCAGCCCGGCGCACCUGCCAACGUGCGGGGACAGCGGGAGGGCUAACGGGGCGCCUUCAGCAGACAAGGGCUCAGAAGAAUUGCCUCAAAAGUCCCGUGUGAGGACACCUUGUGAAGAAACCCUGAAGUGAUUGAAGAGGACUUUCCAGCAGGUCCUUGAACAGACGUGAUGAAACGGGAGGCAUCAGCUAUUUUACUAAAUUUAUUAUCUUUAAAAUACAAGAGCC